This 292-nucleotide ribosomal RNA is filed under the name uncultured bacterium. Its description in RNAcentral is "partial 16S ribosomal RNA". It matches the Rfam family "Bacterial small subunit ribosomal RNA", at positions 505 to 796 of the family's 1533-position model. The record is from RNAcentral.
GUGCCAGCAGCCGCGGUAAGACGUAGGGGGCGAGCGUUGUCCGGAUUCAUUGGGCGUAAAGCGCGCGCAGGCGGUCCGGAAAGUCGGAUGUGAAAACCCGGAGCUCAACUCCGGGCGUGCAUCCGAUACUCCCGGACUAGAGGUAGGUAGGGGAGAUCGGAAUUCCUGGUGUAGCGGUGAAAUGCGCAGAUAUCAGGAGGAACACCGGUGGCGAAGGCGGAUCUCUGGGCCUUACCUGACGCUCAGGCGCGAAAGCUAGGGGAGCGAACAGGAUUAGAUACCCUGGUAGUCC